This 253-nucleotide ribosomal RNA is filed under the name uncultured bacterium. Its description in RNAcentral is "partial 16S ribosomal RNA". It matches the Rfam family "Bacterial small subunit ribosomal RNA", at positions 524 to 776 of the family's 1533-position model. The record is from RNAcentral.
UACGUAGGGUGCAAGCGUUGUUCGGAAUUAUUGGGCGUAAAGCGCGUGUAGGUUGUUACUCAAGUCGGGUGUGAAAUCCCUUGGCUUAACCAAGGAAGUGCAUCCGAAACUAGGUAGCUAGAGGACGGUAGAGGAAGGUGGAAUUCCUAGUGUAGAGGUGAAAUUCGUAGAUAUUAGGAGGAAUACCUGUGGCGAAGGCGGCCUUCUGGGUCGUUCCUGACACUGAGACGCGAAAGCGUGGGUAGCAAACAGG